AUUGAACGCUGGCGGCAUGCUUUACACAUGCAAGUCGAACGGUAACAGGCCGCAAGGUGCUGACGAGUGGCGAACGGGUGAGUAAUGCAUCGGAACGCGCCCAGUCGUGGGGGAUAACUACUCGAAAGAGUAGCUAAUACCGCAUACGAUCUAUGGAUGAAAGCGGGGGACCGUAAGGCCUCGCGCGAUUGGAGCGGCCGAUGUCAGAUUAGGUAGUUGGUGGGGUAAAGGCUCACCAAGCCAACGAUCUGUAGCUGGUCUGAGAGGACGACCAGCCACACUGGGACUGAGACACGGCCCAGACUCCUACGGGAGGCAGCAGUGGGGAAUUUUGGACAAUGGGCGCAAGCCUGAUCCAGCUAUGCCGCGUGCAGGAAGAAGGCCUUCGGGUUGUAAACUGCUUUUGUACGGAACGAAACGGCUCUGGUUAAUACCCGGGGCUAAUGACGGUACCGUAAGAAUAAGCACCGGCUAACUACGUG
This 482-nucleotide ribosomal RNA is filed under the name uncultured bacterium. Its description in RNAcentral is "partial 16S ribosomal RNA". It matches the Rfam family "Bacterial small subunit ribosomal RNA", at positions 30 to 507 of the family's 1533-position model. The record is from RNAcentral.